This 1175-nucleotide ribosomal RNA is filed under the name Pantoea dispersa. RNAcentral's name for it is "bacterial SSU rRNA". It matches the Rfam family "Bacterial small subunit ribosomal RNA", at positions 35 to 1212 of the family's 1533-position model. The record is from RNAcentral. Lineage: Bacteria; Pseudomonadati; Pseudomonadota; Gammaproteobacteria; Enterobacterales; Erwiniaceae.
GCAUUUCGGCGGCUACACAUGCAAGUCGAACGGCAGCACAGAAGAGCUUGCUCUUUGGGUGGCGAGUGGCGGACGGGUGAGUAAUGUCUGGGAAACUGCCCGAUGGAGGGGGAUAACUACUGGAAACGGUAGCUAAUACCGCAUAACGUCGCAAGACCAAAGUGGGGGACCUUCGGGCCUCACACCAUCGGAUGUGCCCAGAUGGGAUUAGCUAGUAGGUGGGGUAAUGGCUCACCUAGGCGACGAUCCCUAGCUGGUCUGAGAGGAUGACCAGCCACACUGGAACUGAGACACGGUCCAGACUCCUACGGGAGGCAGCAGUGGGGAAUAUUGCACAAUGGGCGCAAGCCUGAUGCAGCCAUGCCGCGUGUAUGAAGAAGGCCUUCGGGUUGUAAAGUACUUUCAGCGGGGAGGAAGGCGGUGAGGUUAAUAACCUUGCCGAUUGACGUUACCCGCAGAAGAAGCACCGGCUAACUCCGUGCCAGCAGCCGCGGUAAUACGGAGGGUGCAAGCGUUAAUCGGAAUUACUGGGCGUAAAGCGCACGCAGGCGGUCUGUUAAGUCAGAUGUGAAAUCCCCGGGCUUAACCUGGGAACUGCAUUUGAAACUGGCAGGCUUGAGUCUCGUAGAGGGGGGUAGAAUUCCAGGUGUAGCGGUGAAAUGCGUAGAGAUCUGGAGGAAUACCGGUGGCGAAGGCGGCCCCCUGGACGAAGACUGACGCUCAGGUGCGAAAGCGUGGGGAGCAAACAGGAUUAGAUACCCUGGUAGUCCACGCCGUAAACGAUGUCGACUUGGAGGUUGUGCCCUUGAGGCGUGGCUUCCGGAGCUAACGCGUUAAGUCGACCGCCUGGGGAGUACGGCCGCAAGGUUAAAACUCAAAUGAAUUGACGGGGGCCCGCACAAGCGGUGGAGCAUGUGGUUUAAUUCGAUGCAACGCGAAGAACCUUACCUGGCCUUGACAUCCAGAGAACUUAGCAGAGAUGCUUUGGUGCCUUCGGGGAACUCUGAGACAGGUGCUGCAUGGCUGUCGUCAGCUCGUGUGUGAAUGUUGGGUUUAAGUCCCGCACGAGCGCACCAUAUCCUUGCUGCUAGCGGCUCGGCGGACUCUAAGGAACUGGCGUUGAUAACCCGAGCAAGUGGGAUGACGUCAGUUCAUCAUGGGCCGUUACGGCCAAG